RNAcentral lists this ribosomal RNA (253 nucleotides) under uncultured bacterium. RNAcentral describes it as "partial 16S ribosomal RNA". It matches the Rfam family "Bacterial small subunit ribosomal RNA", at positions 524 to 776 of the family's 1533-position model. The record is from RNAcentral.
UACGUAGGGUGCGAGCGUUGUCCGGAAUUAUUGGGUGUAAAGGGCUCGUAGGCGGUUUGUCGCGUCGGGAGUGAAAACCUUGGGCUUAACUCAGGGCUUGCUUUCGAUACGGGCAGACUAGAGGUAUGCAGGGGAGAACGGAAUUCCUGGUGUAGCGGUGAAAUGCGCAGAUAUCAGGAGGAACACCGGUGGCGAAGGCGGAUCUCUGGGCCUUACCUGACGCUCAGGCGCGAAAGCUAGGGGAGCGAACUGG